GACGAACGCUGGCGGCGUGCUUAACACAUGCAAGUCGAACGAUGAAGCUGGAGCUUGCUCCGGUGGAUUAGUGGCGAACGGGUGAGUAACACGUGAGUAAUCUGCCCUUGACUCUGGGAUAACUGCGGGAAACUGUAGCUAAUACCGGAUACGACACCUUCGGGCAUCCGAUGGGUGUGGAAAGAAUUUCGGUCAAGGAUGAACUCGCGGCCUAUCAGCUAGUUGGUGAGGUAAUGGCUCACCAAGGCGACGACGGGUAGCCGGCCUGAGAGGGUGACCGGCCACACUGGGACUGAGAUACGGCCCAGACUCCUACGGGAGGCAGCAGUGGGGAAUAUUGCACAAUGGGCGCAAGCCUGAUGCAGCGACGCCGCGUGAGGGAUGACGGCCUUCGGGUUGUAAACCUCUUUCAGCACCGACGAAGCGCAAGUGACGGUAGGUGCAGAAGAAGGACCGGCCAACUACGUGCCAGCAGCCGCGGUAA
RNAcentral lists this ribosomal RNA (484 nucleotides) under uncultured bacterium. Its description in RNAcentral is "partial 16S ribosomal RNA". It matches the Rfam family "Bacterial small subunit ribosomal RNA", at positions 28 to 523 of the family's 1533-position model. The record is from RNAcentral.